Non-coding RNA from Nicotiana tabacum (common tobacco), 876 nucleotides. The record is from RefSeq and is a predicted model, not a curated record. NCBI's taxonomy places the organism in Eukaryota, Viridiplantae, Streptophyta, Magnoliopsida, Solanales, Solanaceae.
UCAAUUCGAUAAUUUUCUACGUAGAAAACUACUUGGUUCUUCGUGAAAUAAGAAAGCCUGUGAAAAAAUGAAUUAUGGUUUCUCUGAUGUCUAGAGUUAUUAGUUAGCUCUGCCCCGCCCUACUAUUAUAUCCUUUGUUGCUCACAUUAUUGGUAGCGGAUUUUUCUCAUUUAUGUUUCUUCUGACAUAUUGCUCCAAUGCCAUCCACACCACUUUUGAUUUUUUUCCUAUGUUUUAUCCCUCCUUUCAGUAUUUGCUACUCAAGAUGAUUAUGCUAACUCGCCAAUCUAAAGGUGCUUAAACAGUUUCAUCUAUGACACAACAUAAAUUAUCAUUUGGAGUCGAGAUAUCCAUCAGUUCAACAACACAACCAUGAAGAUUACAUCUCAUCAGACAAAUUGAAGUAUGUUUGGAUCUCGAUGACCACCUUGAUGACAUCAGCAAGGACCGGGUGAAUAUAAUGCUCUUCAAUUGAAGUUUCUGUGUGGAAUUGGCUAUUGUCCUGUUGGUGCCCUCUCAUGGGAGGUGAAAACAACUUCAGGAAAACUGGUACUCAUUUCAAGACUUCUCACAUGGACAUAUCUGCUAUCUCACCUUAGACCAAGUAUUAGAUUGUGAUUUGUGAUUCUGCUGGUGUUGUGACAACAUUUUAUAUGUGCUCGGAAGUUGAUGCAGCGACGUUGAGAGAUGAGAUAGAUUUUGAAUUCUUGGGAAACAGAAUAGGAUUGCUUUAUCUUAUUCAAAAGCUAGAGCCCUAUUUUUGUAGACAUGAUCAAAUUAAUAAAACAAAUCAUGUUGUAUCCUCUUUUAUCUUCUAUUUGCUGUUGUAUUGGUUUACAUUUAUGGUUCAGUAUACAAGGCUAGACACUUGUGCUA